Molecule: ribosomal RNA, 491 nt
Filed under: uncultured bacterium
Lineage: Bacteria
Description: partial 16S ribosomal RNA
Rfam family: Bacterial small subunit ribosomal RNA
Source: RNAcentral
GUGCACGCUGGCGGUAGGCCUCACACCUGCCAGUCGAACGGCAGCACAGUAAGAGCUUGCUCUUACGGGUGGCGAGUGGCGGACGGGUGAGGAAUACAUCGGAAUCUACUUUUUCGUGGGGGAUAACGUAGGGAAACUUACGCUAAUACCGCAUACGACCUACGGGUGAAAGCAGGGGAUCUUCGGACCUUGCGCGAUUGAAUGAGCCGAUGUCGGAUUAGCUAGUUGGCGGGGUAAAGGCCCACCAAGGCGACGAUCCGUAGCUGGUCUGAGAGGAUGAUCAGCCACACUGGAACUGAGACACGGUCCAGACUCCUACGGGAGGCAGCAGUGGGGAAUAUUGGACAAUGGGCACAAGCCUGAUCCAGCCAUACCGCGUGGGUGAAGAAGGCCUUCGGGUUGUAAAGCCCUUUUGUUGGGAAAGAAAAGCAGCAGGUUAAUACCCCGCUGUUCUGACGGUACCCAAAGAAUAAGCACCGGCUAACUUCGUG